Molecule: small RNA, 677 nt
Filed under: Histoplasma capsulatum var. duboisii H88
Lineage: Eukaryota; Fungi; Ascomycota; Eurotiomycetes; Onygenales; Ajellomycetaceae
Description: Histoplasma capsulatum H88 hypothetical RNA
Source: RNAcentral
UCAUAUGGUAUAAUAUACUAAAUUUUGAAAUGAAAUAAUACAAUAAAUAUAGUUAUAACAAGUUAUUAAAUUUUACAAAAUGUUAGCUAAAAAAUAAAAUAUAUAUAUUAUAUUUUUAUUUCAAAAUUGAUGGUGGAAGGUUGGCACAUUGUAACUAUCUAGUGGGUCAAAGGGCACAAGCGGCAUAGUAUAUGUGGUCAGCAAUUCAAGGAGGGAUGGCCUGAUAGGGGUACGUCUAUUAAUUUUUCUUAAAUCGGUGAUUGUGUGUGAGCCUAUUUCUCCCAUUUUCCCCCAGCUGACAGCGUGGCACAAGGAUGAUCAAGUGUUGUGCUAUUUCAUCGAAGCAGCAUCCAAACAACCAAUCAAACAGGAAGGAAGAAAGAAAUUCAGUUGUUGACAAAGCUGAGGUGAAUAACGCGAGGGUUUAGUUUGAGCCGUAUCCUGAUUUCUGGACGCUGAGGCAUGUUGUGCGGGGCUUUAAGCAUUGUUGAAAGCUAUGCGAUUUUCGAAUAUGAUGACCGUUUCAAGUUUUGGGCUCACAAACGAAAAUUGUAUAUAUCGAAGUUGCGUUUGAGGCUCUCCGUUUUCUCUGGCGAAUAUCAUCAAGGUUGAUAGAAAAUGGGCGGAAUCCAUGCGUGAAAGUUCACGCUUUGAUAACUAACCAUCUUUACGACGAA